AUUGAACGCUGGCGGCAUGCCUAACACAUGCAAGUCGAGCGAGCGGCGGACGGGUGAGUAAUGUAUGGGGACUGCCCGAUAGCGGGGGGUAACUACUGGAAACGGUGGCUAAUACCGCCUACUAUCGGCUAACCCAUAUGGGAUUAGCUAGUAGGUGCGUUAAUGGCUCACCUGGGCGACGAUCCCUAGCUGGUCUGCGAGGAUGACCAGCCACACUGGGACGGAGACACGGCCCAGACCCCUACGGAGGCAGAGGUGGGGAAUAUUGGAAAAGGGGGGAAAGCCGGAGGCACACAGGCCGGGUGGAGGAAGAAGGCCUUAGGGUUGUAAAGUACGUUCAGCCGGGAGGCGUUACCGAAAGAAGAAGCACCGGCUAACUCCGUGCCAGCAGCCGCGGUAAUUC
Molecule: ribosomal RNA, 403 nt
Filed under: uncultured bacterium
Lineage: Bacteria
Description: partial 16S ribosomal RNA
Rfam family: Bacterial small subunit ribosomal RNA
Source: RNAcentral